AGCGAACGCUGGCGGCAGGCUUAACACAUGCAAGUCGAGCGGACCUUUCGGGGUCAGCGGCGGACGGGUGAGUAACGCGUGGGAACGUGCCUUCCGGUUCGGAAUAACCCUGGGAAACUAGGGCUAAUACCGGAUACGCCCUUAUGGGGAAAGGUUUACUGCCGGAAGAUCGGCCCGCGUCUGAUUAGCUAGUUGGUGGGGUAACGGCCUACCAAGGCGACGAUCAGUAGCUGGUCUGAGAGGAUGAUCAGCCACACUGGGACUGAGACACGGCCCAGACUCCUACGGGAGGCAGCAGUGGGGAAUAGUGGACAAUGGGCGCAAGCCUGAUCCAGCCAUGCCGCGUGAGUGAUGAAGGCCUUAGGGUUGUAAAGCUCUUUUAUCCGGGACGAUAAUGACGGUACCGGAGGAAUAAGCCCCGGCUAACUUCG
This 431-nucleotide ribosomal RNA is filed under the name uncultured bacterium. RNAcentral describes it as "partial 16S ribosomal RNA". It matches the Rfam family "Bacterial small subunit ribosomal RNA", at positions 29 to 505 of the family's 1533-position model. The record is from RNAcentral.